RNAcentral lists this ribosomal RNA (121 nucleotides) under Pteropus alecto (black flying fox). The record is from RNAcentral. Lineage: Eukaryota; Metazoa; Chordata; Mammalia; Chiroptera; Pteropodidae.
UUCUACAGCCAUGCUACCCUGAACAAGCCCGAUCCCGUCUGAUCUCAGAAGCUAAACAGGGUCAGGCCUGGUUAGUACUUGGAUGGGAGACUACCUAGGAAUAAAUAAAUAAAUAAAUAAA